This is a long non-coding RNA of Tupaia belangeri chinensis (Chinese tree shrew), 2355 nucleotides long. RefSeq lists it as uncharacterized. The transcript is spliced from 5 exons. The record is from RefSeq and is a predicted model, not a curated record. Lineage: Eukaryota; Metazoa; Chordata; Mammalia; Scandentia; Tupaiidae.
GGAGGGCCUGGUUAUUGACACUGUGUGCUAGGUCGGGGAGAGGAAAGGUCAGGUGGGAAGUUAUUGCGAGAGUGAGACAGUCCGUUGAAAAGGACUGGACUGACCGAGGCGCACGUAAAGCACGCUACAGGAAGCUAUGCAGGGGUGACACGGACACCUGAGACAGCGUGCAGCUGAGGGGACAGGCCCUCUCCAACCCCGCCCCUCCUCUGUGGAUCACUUGCUCCAGUGGCUCGGAGGACUCAGGAAACACUGUUAGCAGUUUUCCCUAAAGGGUAUUGCGAAGAACACAGAUGACAAAUGCAUAGGACAGUUGAUUUCAACUUUCCUCCUCUGCAAACAACUACUUUUAUUUCAUCAUGCAAGUAGACGGAUCCUUUUGAAAGCUGAUGAAUCAGCAGAGCCAGAAAAUGACGCAUGUCUGCUGUGUGUUUACUGAUGACGUGCAAUCUGAUUGCUGAGGAAAGGUAACAGAAGAUACUGCUGGCAUGCCUGCCCUGCUGGGUGUUAUACCCUGACCCGUUUCCUCCCUCCGCACCGUGGACUGGGCCCUGUUAUUGCCGUUUAUCCUGGAGAAAUGGAGGCUAAGGGACGGUGUGCCGGUACCCAAGGAAAGUGGCCGUGAGACUGAAACUCUGGGCUUUUUGCCCUGAACACUGCAUUACCCCCAAAUCAGCCAGGCCUACUGGCUUCUUUUGCUGAAGAAGGCAGAAGUGAGGAAGAAAGAAAGGAAACAAACAAAAAUAAAUAAAGCCAAACACUCCCCCAAAGGAGGAGCUACGAAAACUUUGAAGGCGGAUCACCGGGAAGCCAGCUCCGGGUGAGUAAUCCAUGAAUCACGAGAAGACUCGCUGUGCGGCAGAGGCAGAGCCAGGAGGGAGCUCUCCUAUCAGAUGAACUCCUCCAAGGCGGAGCAACCGGAAGCUACUUCACGCACCCGCGAGCCCCAGGGAACCAGCCGAGAAGUCCGGGCUGGUGCUUGCAGGGGCAAAGGAGUGUGAGAAGACGUGAUUAUUUCUUGCAAAGUGAGCAGCUCCACUCCCUCCGUGCCGUGGACUAAUACGACAUAAUAGAGUGAGAUCGGACAAUGGUGACAGGGAGUCCAUGCAGGCCCAACGGGUCCUAGUAAAUGCACAGUCGUGGGUCUCUGCCGGGCUGGGGCUGCACUCCCCAGGAAAUAAUGUAGAGUUUUGGUUGUCACCAACGGGGUGCUGCUGGCAUGUGGAGGAGGUGACUGAGCGGGGACUACGGAUGUCCUGCCCUGGCCGGGAAGGUGGUCCCACCGACCAUGCACACCCUGAAGCGCUGUCACAGCAGCAAGGCCGCUCCCUCAACCUCUAGACUUCCCGGCUUCUGGUUUGCUUAAUCCAGCUCUUUGCAAAUACGACUGAUUCAGUUGGAUGUUUCAGACAUUGAUAAAUGUAAGCGCUAUCGUCGAAUGUGAAGGACAACAUAAGUACCCAGGAGCAGGCUCGAGUCUCUGGAGAAUGAAUGGAGGUGAUGGGUCUACCUUCAAAUAAGAUAAAGGCCUCGCGCUAGGCCAGGCCCCACAUUCCAAAUCUUUGAGACAGAUACUCUGCAUAGCAGGGCCGCACGUAGACAGGCUGUGAAGGGGAGCUUGUAUUUAGGGUCCCUGAGCAGCACCCUUGGCGCCCUCAACCUCCCCGGACAGCUGUGGUCUCACGGGGACCCUAGCUCGGUGCUGCAUCCCAGUUCAGCCCCUUUCACCGGUCGUGGGCCGUCGGUUGGCUCGGCAGGCUCGGAUCCUGCAGCCCCUUAGGCACCAUGUCCCUUCUGCAGCCCAUCAGCAUGUCCUGUGGCUACCUCCCCUUUUCUCCAUGCUCCCAGCCUACACCAGGUCUGAGUUCUCUCUCUCGGGACUCGAGUAAUAGCUUUCAACCUGCCUCCCCGGUUGCCCUCCGCCUCUGCCCUCCACCGGCCGUGUUCUCCUCCCGACACCUGCUGUGAACGUCCAGUCUCAAAGUUCUUCAGAUCACGUCCCUUUUCAGCUUCAAGUCAUGUAAUGUGCUUCAUCGCCCUCAAAAGUGAGCUUCGGACCAGCCUCUCUCCUUCCUCACUUCAUCCUCUUGCCCCGACUCCCUGCUCCAGCCGCCAGGAGGCUUCUCCCCUGCACAUGCUCAGCUCCUCUCUGCCCGGAGCGCCCUUCCAACCGCCGGCUGUUCUCGUGCUGCAGGCUCUGCUCCAACGGCACCUUUCCAGGCCUUUCCAGAGUCCCCCCACCAUCGGCAUCUAAAAUCGCCUCCCUCCUCCCUGUUUAAUACUUAAUCUGAAAGUGCCCCAUUUAUUUGUUUGCAUUCUCACUGUCUGCUUUCUUCUAUUAGAAUAUAAGCUUCA